Non-coding RNA from Schizosaccharomyces pombe (fission yeast), 384 nucleotides. The record is from the annotation of a GenBank genome assembly. NCBI's taxonomy places the organism in Eukaryota, Fungi, Ascomycota, Schizosaccharomycetes, Schizosaccharomycetales, Schizosaccharomycetaceae.
AUUGUUUCUCAACAAAACCAGUCCCCUGUAAAACGUAGCAAGGCGAUUCAUUCAAUUCUUGAUCUUGUUUUUUGCGCUUUAUAUCCUCCAUGAUUUCUUUAAUACCAGAAACUGAAAGUACAAUUAACAUGGGGCCAAUCGUUGUAUAACGAUUAACUGGUGUGAUUCCAGGAAUUUGCUGCACAACAGCCGUGAAAAGGAAAAAUAGAUUUGCAUAUUUUGAGAAUUGUUCCUUUAGGAAUUUUGGUAAAAAUGUGAAAGCGCUGUAUUUACAAGUUGACACAGCGUUGUGUAAGAAAUGGUUUGCUGAAUAAUCAUUUAAAAUGAUCUGUCGAGGACCAAGAUCUUCUGGCUUAACCUGUUUCUUCUCUUUUUUAAAUAAGU